UUGUUGUAGGCAAACUCUGGUAAAGGCAAGAACUGGUCCCACGAGCCUCCAAAAUCAAUAACGCAGGCUCGGAGCAUAUCCUCAAAAAUCUGAAUAGUCCACUCGGACUGGCCGUCCGUCUGGAUGAAAUGUUGUACUCAACUGAACCUAGGUUCCCAAAUCCUGCUGUACCACUCUCCAGAAAUGAUAGAUAUCGGCACCCCAUGAAGGUGAACAAUCUCCCUGAUAUAAAUCUCAG
RNAcentral lists this long non-coding RNA (238 nucleotides) under Nicotiana benthamiana. RNAcentral's name for it is "long non-coding RNA (NBEN_LNC028575)". Lineage: Eukaryota; Viridiplantae; Streptophyta; Magnoliopsida; Solanales; Solanaceae. The record is from RNAcentral.